GAUGAACGCUAGCUACAGGCUUAACACAUGCAAGUCGAGGGGAAACGACAUCGAAAGCUUGCUUUUGAUGGGCGUCGACCGGCGCACGGGUGAGUAACGCGUAUCCAACCUGCCCACCACUUGGGGAUAACCUUGCGAAAGUAAGACUAAUACCCAAUGAUAUCCCACGAAGGCAUCCGAAUGGGAUUAAAGAUUUAUCGGUGAUGGAUGGGGAUGCGUCUGAUUAGCUUGUUGGCGGGUAACGGCCCACAAGGCAACGAUCGGUAGGGGUUCUGAGAGGAGGGUCCCCCACAUUGGAACUGAGACACGGUCCAAACUCCUACGGGAGGCAGCAGUGAGGAAUAUUGGUCAAUGGACGUAAGUCUGAACCAGCCAAGUAGCGUGCAGGAUGACGGCCCUAUGGGUUGUAAACUGCUUUUANGUGGGAAUAAAGUCAGGGACGUGUCCCUGUUUGCAUGUACCACAGGAAUAAGGACUGGCUAAUUCCGUG
This 490-nucleotide ribosomal RNA is filed under the name uncultured bacterium. RNAcentral's name for it is "bacterial SSU rRNA". It matches the Rfam family "Bacterial small subunit ribosomal RNA", at positions 28 to 507 of the family's 1533-position model. The record is from RNAcentral.